CCUACGGGAGGCAGCAGUGGGGAAUAUUGGACAAUGGGGGCAACCCUGAUCCAGCCAUGCCGCGUGUGUGAAGAAGGCCCUCGGGUUGUAAAGCACUUUCAGUGAGGAAGAACGCCUGGUGGUUAAUACCCAUCAGGAAAGACAUCACUCACAGAAGAAGCACCGGCUAACUCCGUGCCAGCAGCCGCGGUAAUACGGAGGGUGCGAGCGUUAAUCGGAAUUACUGGGCGUAAAGCGCGCGUAGGUGGCUUGAUAAGCCGGUUGUGAAAGCCCCGGGCUCAACCUGGGAACGGCAUCCGGAACUGUCAAGCUAGAGUGCAGGAGAGGAAGGUAGAAUUCCCGGUGUAGCGGUGAAAUGCGUAGAGAUCGGGAGGAAUACCAGUGGCGAAGGCGGCCUUCUGGACUGACACUGACACUGAGGUGCGAAAGCGUGGGUAGCAAACAGGAUUAGAUACCCCGGUAGUC
RNAcentral lists this ribosomal RNA (465 nucleotides) under Vreelandella stevensii. RNAcentral's name for it is "partial 16S ribosomal RNA". It matches the Rfam family "Bacterial small subunit ribosomal RNA", at positions 338 to 795 of the family's 1533-position model. The record is from RNAcentral. Lineage: Bacteria; Pseudomonadati; Pseudomonadota; Gammaproteobacteria; Oceanospirillales; Halomonadaceae.